UUUCCGUAGGUGAACCUGCGGAAGGAUCAUUAUCAUACAAAAUGUGAGGGGCAUGCGAGGGCUGUCGCUGCCCCAAAAGUCGUGCACGCACGCAAGUGUCCUCUUGCCUAAUACUCCAUCUCCCCCUUUGUGACUCACCGCGUGGGCAUCCUUCGGGAUCGGCUCGGUGGGGGGCUCGCGUUUUCAAACAAACUCCCCUUUUUAUCGUCUAAAAUAACCACAUUUUUACAAUCUAUACAACUUACAACAACGGUUCUCUUGCCUCUCGCAUCGAAGAAA
RNAcentral lists this unclassified non-coding RNA (279 nucleotides) under plant metagenome. RNAcentral's name for it is "partial contains small subunit ribosomal RNA, internal transcribed spacer 1, and 5.8S ribosomal RNA". The record is from RNAcentral.